This 254-nucleotide ribosomal RNA is filed under the name uncultured bacterium. RNAcentral describes it as "partial 16S ribosomal RNA". It matches the Rfam family "Bacterial small subunit ribosomal RNA", at positions 524 to 776 of the family's 1533-position model. The record is from RNAcentral.
UACGUAGGGUGCGAGCGUUAAUCGGAAUUACUGGGCGUAAAGCGUGCGCAGGCGGUCUGUUAAGACCGAUGUGAAAUCCCCGGGCUUAACCUGGGAACUGCAUUGGUGACUGGCAGGCUUUGAGUGUGGCAGAGGGAGGUAGAAUUCCACGUGUAGCAGUGAAAUGCGUAGAGAUGUGGAGGAACACCGAUGGCGAAGGCAGCCCCCUGGGUCAACACUGACGCUCAUGCACGAAAGCGUGGGGAGCAAACAGG